CCCCUAUUGGUAUUUAGGGCCCCCACCCACUGCUCAGGGGUGGGGGCCAUGGGGGAGGACAUUAGGUCCCCCCAAAUGGUAUUUAUGGCCCCCACCCAAUGCUCAGUGGUGGGCGCCAGGGGGAGGACAUUAAGUCCCCCCCAACUGGUAUUUAGGGCCCCCACCCACCGCUCAGGGGUGGGGGCCAGGGGGAGGACAUUAGGUCCCCUCCUUAUUCUAUUUUAGGGCCCCCAUCCACCGCUCAGGGGGGAGGACAAUAGGUACUCCCCCUUUAUUCUAAUUUAGGGCCCCCACCCACCGCUCAGGGGGGAGGAUAAUAGGACCCCCCCUUAUUCUGAUUUAGGGUCCCCACCCACCACUCACAUGUCUAGUACAGGGGGACUGGAUGAGCCUCGCUGCCGCAUUCAUUAUAGAACGUAAUGGGAAGGUUGGGAAUAUGUGAAAACAAUUAGGAAGCGGAUUGCAGUAUUCAAGGCGAGAAAAACAGCGGCAUGGACCAGCACCUUAACCGCAUCUGGAGUUAAAUAGGGGCGGAUACGCACUACAGUUGCAAGAAAAAGUAUGUGAACCCUUUGGAAUGAUAUGGAUUUCUGCACAAAUUGGUCAUAAAAUGUGAUCUGAUCAUCAUCUAAGUCACAACAAUAGAUAAUCACAGUCUGCUUAAACUAAUAACACACAAAGAAUGAAAUGCUGC
Pelobates cultripes (western spadefoot toad) is the source of this 694-nucleotide non-coding RNA. The record is from the annotation of a GenBank genome assembly. NCBI's taxonomy places the organism in Eukaryota, Metazoa, Chordata, Amphibia, Anura, Pelobatidae.